GUYUUCGUAGUAUACCUAAAUAYGUUGGUCUUGUAAACCAAAGACGGAGGAUAAAUACCCCCUAAGACU
Molecule: transfer RNA, 69 nt
Filed under: Platygonus compressus
Lineage: Eukaryota; Metazoa; Chordata; Mammalia; Artiodactyla; Tayassuidae
Description: tRNA-Thr
Rfam family: tRNA
About the family: Transfer RNA (tRNA) molecules are approximately 80 nucleotides in length.
Source: RNAcentral